GUCGGGAUAGCUCAGUUGGUAGAGCAGAGGACUGAAAAUCCUCCU
RNAcentral lists this transfer RNA (45 nucleotides) under Gossypium hirsutum (cotton). RNAcentral's name for it is "partial tRNA-Phe". It matches the Rfam family "tRNA", at positions 1 to 44 of the family's 71-position model. Rfam says of the family: Transfer RNA (tRNA) molecules are approximately 80 nucleotides in length. Their secondary structure includes four short double-helical elements and three loops (D, anti-codon, and T loops). Lineage: Eukaryota; Viridiplantae; Streptophyta; Magnoliopsida; Malvales; Malvaceae. The record is from RNAcentral.